Molecule: long non-coding RNA, 339 nt
Organism: Pezoporus flaviventris
Lineage: Eukaryota; Metazoa; Chordata; Aves; Psittaciformes; Psittacidae
Exons: 4
Source: RefSeq, a predicted model, not a curated record
AGACAGUUGAAAAAUAUUAAUGACAAAAUAAACAAAGGACUGGAGAAAUAAUGCUGGAGUUUUUCAUUGCUGAUUUAUCUCUGUCAAGAAUUGCUUCAUAGUGCAAGGUGUUGGACAUAAAUCCAUUACUUAUGGAUAUCACACCACUGAUUCAAAUGAAGUGUCACCAACUUAAAAAUGGAGGAACUGUGGAGAUUCAGACCCUGUGGUUUGAAUAGCUAGAAAUAUGAAGAAGACAUGCUUCAUGAACCCAUGGUCUCUUACCAGGGCACAGACUUUGCUUCCACUUUAAUCCAGGUUUGUCAUAACAUUUUGUAACACCACCACCAUUUUCUCCAA